UACCAGACUCCUACGGGAGGCAGCAGUGGGGGAUAUUGCACAAUGGGGGGAACCCUGAUGCAGCGACGCCGCGUGGGUGAAGGAGUGCUUCGGCAUGUAAAGCCCUAUCGGCAGGGAAGAAGCAAGACGGUACCUGACUAAGAAGCCCCGGCUAACUACGUGCCAGCAGCCGCGGUAAUACGGAGGAUGCGAGCGUUAUCCGGAUUUAUUGGGUUUAAAGGGUGCGUAGGCGGACUGGAAAGUCAGCGGUAAAAUCGGGAGGCUCAACCUCUUUCCGCCGUUGAAACUGUCGGUCUUGAGUGGGCGAGAAGUAUGCGGAAUGCGUGGUGUAGCGGUGAAAUGCAUAGGUAUCACGCAGAACUCCGAUUGCGAAGGCAGCAUACCGGCGCCCGACUGACGCUGAGGCACGAAAGCGUGGGUAUCGAACAGGAUUAGAUACCCUCGUAA
Molecule: ribosomal RNA, 447 nt
Filed under: uncultured bacterium
Lineage: Bacteria
Description: partial 16S ribosomal RNA
Rfam family: Bacterial small subunit ribosomal RNA
Source: RNAcentral